AACGAACGCUGGCGGCAUGCCUAACACAUGCAAGUCGAACGAAGCCUUCGGGCUUAGUGGCGCACGGGUGCGUAACACGUGGGAAUCUGCCCUUCGGUUCGGAAUAACAGUUAGAAAUGACCGCUAAUACCGGAUGAUGACGAAAGUCCAAAGAUUUAUCGCCGAAGGAUGAGCCCGCGUAGGAUUAGGUAGUUGGUAGGGUAAUGGCCUACCAAGCCGACGAUCCUUAGCUGGUCUGAGAGGAUGAUCAGCCACACUGGGACUGAGACACGGCCCAGACUCCUACGGGAGGCAGCAGUGGGGAAUAUUGGACAAUGGGCGAAAGCCUGAUCCAGCAAUGCCGCGUGAGUGAUGAAGGCCUUAGGGUUGUAAAGCUCUUUUACCAGGGAUGAUAAUGACAGUACCUCCUUAGCAAGCACCGGCUAACUUCGUGCCAGCAGCCGCGGUAAU
Molecule: ribosomal RNA, 450 nt
Filed under: uncultured bacterium
Lineage: Bacteria
Description: bacterial SSU rRNA
Rfam family: Bacterial small subunit ribosomal RNA
Source: RNAcentral